This 168-nucleotide ribosomal RNA is filed under the name uncultured bacterium. RNAcentral describes it as "partial 16S ribosomal RNA". It matches the Rfam family "Bacterial small subunit ribosomal RNA", at positions 349 to 509 of the family's 1533-position model. The record is from RNAcentral.
GAGCAGUAGGGAAUCUUCCACAAUGGGCGCAAGCCUGAUGGAGCAACACCGCGUGAGUGAAGAAGGGUUUCGGCUCGUAAAGCUCUGUUGUUGGAGAAGAACGUGCGUGAGAGUAACUGUUCACGCAGUGACGGUAUCCAACCAGAAAGUCACGGCUAACUACGUGCC